Lemur catta (Ring-tailed lemur) is the source of this 1343-nucleotide long non-coding RNA. RefSeq lists it as uncharacterized. NCBI's taxonomy places the organism in Eukaryota, Metazoa, Chordata, Mammalia, Primates, Lemuridae. The transcript has 4 exons. The record is from RefSeq and is a predicted model, not a curated record.
CAGCAUUUCCAGAGCAGUGCCUGAGAAUCGACAGCUUCAACGGAUGUCUAUAAGAUAUCUAAGCAGAACUAGUGUUCUAUAUUACAGUUUGCUUUUGAGUGGGCAUAUCCCACACAUCACUCUCCAAAUCCCACACCAGAAACUCAAGAGCUCAUCAGACCUUCCUUGGAAGUGUGACUGCUGCUGGUCAAAGUUCAGGCAGAAAAGAGAGUCUUGAAAGGGACAUUAUGGAUGAUUGAUUGACUGAUUGUCCCUCUGGUGUUUGAUGUUUAUGUUCCAGAGAUUAACCCAUCACCCCUGCCUCAGGGGCAUGAGCUGGUCAGCUGCCACCCUCCUUGUCAGCUGCAGUCAAGUGUGCAGGCAGAAGGAGCAGCCCUGUCUGGGACAUUGCUGGGCUUGUGGCAGAAGGAAAAGACAAUGGAACCACACCAUGACUCCUGGAUUACGUGGGUUGCACUUCCACUCACGUUUUAUUGGCUAAAGCAAGUCACAUGGUUAAGUCUGGCAUGAAUGGGCUCCAGGCCGAGAGCACCGUGCUCUUCAGCUCCAUCUCGCGUAGGGAAACGCUGACUGCACCCUCGGCGGCGCCCAAGGGCAGCGUCCAUCCCAGCGGAAAACAUGAAAAGCCGGUAACGUUACUUAGGCAUUAACGCUAAAUGAAGUAUUGAUUUCCUGCAGAUUAAGAAUUGGAGUGUCUGUGCAGGAGCAGACAUUUUUCGGUUCAUGGGAACCCUAGGAAAGCAUGUAUAUUGAUAAAUUCAACUGAAUCUGGAAAAAAUUAUACUCCAUUUCAUUAACACUGGCAUGUUUAGAAUGAAAUUCCCAUUGACCCGAGAUUCCCGGUUAAAUACUUCAAAAGAGCCAAGUAAGGACACCCUCUGAGCAGCAGCGUGUAAUUAAUACCCUCACGAGAUCCUACGGCAGAGUAUCUUUUCGAAACGUCAUAGAGCCCCAAGGAGAACUCCCGGAGACGGUGUGGAAGGCAGUUCGGGGAUGGGGUGGGUAAGUCCCCUCCUCGACGAGGAUGACUCGGGCCAACUGGAGUCGUUUCCGUGCUCUCCUCGUCCGCCUCGUCCGUGCCGCCGCGGGCAGCCCCUCCCCGUGGCCCGGGCGCGCCCGGGAAACCCGGCCCUCCUGAGAAACGCGCGGGCCGGGACGCCCACCUUUCGCUUAUUAUUACAGAUGUGCUUGCUGUCAAGCCUUUAUGAUCCUUAAGCGUGUCGCUACACGUAGUUCGGGCUCCCUCCGACCGGGGCCGAGCGAACCCGAGGCUCCGGCGGGCCCGGCCGGGGCGGGGCGUCUUGGAGGCCUCGGGCUGCGCCCCAGCCGCGGGCGGGAGGCGG